GAUGAAGAACGCAGCGAAAUGCGAUACGUAAUGUGAAUUGCAGAAUUCAGUGAAUCAUCGAAUCUUUGAACGCACAUUGCGCCCGCUAGUAUUCUGGCGGGCAUGCCUGUCCGAGCGUCAUUUCAACCCAUCAAGCUUAGCGCUUGUGUUGGAGCCCUGCGGCCGCCGCAGCCUCCUAAAUCAGUGGCGGGCUCGCUAUCACGCUGAGUGCAGUAGUAUUCUUCUCACUCCUGUGGUGUAGCGGGUAACCAGCCGUAAACCCCCCCAUCUAUAAAGGUUGACCUCGGAUCAGGUAGGAAUACCCGCUGAACUUAAGCAUAUCAAUAAGCGGAGGA
RNAcentral lists this unclassified non-coding RNA (335 nucleotides) under soil metagenome. RNAcentral's name for it is "partial contains 5.8S ribosomal RNA, internal transcribed spacer 2, and large subunit ribosomal RNA". The stretch from base 1 to 120 matches the Rfam family "5.8S ribosomal RNA", at positions 35 to 154 of the family's 154-position model. The record is from RNAcentral.